CCUACGGGUGGCAGCAGUGAGGAAUAUUGGUCAAUGGGCGAGAGCCUGAACCAGCCAAGUCGCGUGAGGGAGUACUGCCCUAUGGGUUGUAAACCUCUUUUGUCGGGGAGCAAAAGCCGGACGUGUCCGGCUGUGAGAGUACCCGAAGAAAAAGCAUCGGCUAACUCCGUUCCAGCAGCCGCGGUAAUACGGAGGAUGCGAGCGUUAUCCGGAUUUAUUGGGUUUAAAGGGUGCGCAGGCGGAUUUUUAAGUCAGCGGUAAAAUCGUGGGGCUCAACCCCCUCCAGCCGUUGAAACUGGGGAUCUAGAGUGUGCGAGAGGUAUGCGGAAUGCGUGGUGUAGCGGUGAAAUGCAUAGAGAUCACGCAGAACCCCGAUUGCGAAGGCAGCAUACCGGUGCACAACUGACGCUCAGGCACGAAAGCGUGGGUAUCGAACAGGAUUAGAUACCCUGGUAGUC
RNAcentral lists this ribosomal RNA (458 nucleotides) under uncultured bacterium. RNAcentral describes it as "partial 16S ribosomal RNA". It matches the Rfam family "Bacterial small subunit ribosomal RNA", at positions 338 to 795 of the family's 1533-position model. The record is from RNAcentral.